GCAAGCGCGAUCUGCCGGUGCCUUGGCGGUCUGGCGUGCAGACAGACGUUCUCGGGGACGUCUAGAUGGAGAAAGUGCCCGGCGCCGUUGCUCCUUGUGCGUGUGAACGGAGACGACCUCAGCCCGUGACGGUCUCAGUUUGCGGAGCGCUUCACUCGCGUGAAAGAAACCACGUACAGAGGGCAUUGCCAGAAACAGAGGGUCCAUAGAGGUUCGGCUGAAGCCCUUGCUACCUGGCUGGAGACCCUCAGUUUUAAUCAUAGUGGAUGCAGCUGAAACCUUUUGUGCUUCUCUUUGGGGCACCAUUCUUCUCAAGACUAGUAGGCAUUAGGUGUGUCUGAAAGAAUCAAAGGUGCUUUAUCUAUGGUGACUGAACUCUACUUGUCCCUCCAAGAAGUUGAAAGCUGUCCAGACAUGGUGGUACAUGCCUGCAAUCUCAGGCCCAGGAGCAGAGUCAGAGGGAGGCCCAAACCACCACCCAGGAGCAGUGUCAGUGGAAGGCCUGAGUCACCACCCAGAAGCUAAAAGCCUAGGGGAAGUGUCACCAGGAGACCUGAGUCACUAUACAGGAGCAGUGUCAGAGGAGGGCCUGGGAGUGGGGAGUGACCACCAGAAGUGACAACAGCAACAGCUCCCAACAGUGACUUCCAGAAGCUAUCACAAGAAGUUCCUCUGGGAAACAGCACCUGUAUCCUAGCCAGCAUCCAUUGCCACUUCUGGGUUCCAGAUACCCUGCUGCUACAGUGACCACUGGAACCUCAGCCCUACCUACACCUAGAAGAGCAAUCACCGGAGCCGUGACCCGGCCUCCAACAGGAGGAGCAUCCACCAUAGAUAUAGUUCCACCUGCACCUCAAGAAGUGACCACCUGAGCCUUGGGCCCACUUACACCGGAGGCUCUGCCCCGCUUGCAC
This 914-nucleotide long non-coding RNA is filed under the name Cricetulus griseus (Chinese hamster). RNAcentral describes it as "lncRNA (ENSCGRG00015025313.2)". Lineage: Eukaryota; Metazoa; Chordata; Mammalia; Rodentia; Cricetidae. The record is from RNAcentral.